GACGAACGCUGGCGGCGUGCUUAACACAUGCAAGUCGAACGGGAUUUAGUAAACAGAUACCUCGGUGGAAGAUUACUAAUGAGAGUGGCGAACGGGUGAGUAACGCGUGAGCAACCUGCCUAUGACAGUGGGAUAGCCUCGGGAAACCGGGAUUAAUACCGCAUAAAAUCGUAGAAACACAUGUUUUAACGGUCAAAGAUUUAUCGGUCAUAGAUGGGCUCGCGUCUGAUUAGCUAGUUGGUGAGAUAACAGCCCACCAAGGCGACGAUCAGUAGCCGGUCUGAGAGGAAGAACGGCCACAUUGGAACUGAGACACGGUCCAAACUCCUACGGGAGGCAGCAGUGGGGAAUAUUGCAAAAUGGGGGAAACCCUGAUGCAGCGACGCCGCGUGAACGAAGAAGGUAUUCGUAUCGUAAAGUUCUGUACUAUGGGAAGAUAAUGACAGUACCAUAGAAGAAAGCUCCGGCUAAAUACGUG
This 478-nucleotide ribosomal RNA is filed under the name uncultured bacterium. RNAcentral describes it as "partial 16S ribosomal RNA". It matches the Rfam family "Bacterial small subunit ribosomal RNA", at positions 28 to 507 of the family's 1533-position model. The record is from RNAcentral.